RNAcentral lists this ribosomal RNA (529 nucleotides) under uncultured bacterium. Its description in RNAcentral is "partial 16S ribosomal RNA". It matches the Rfam family "Bacterial small subunit ribosomal RNA", at positions 355 to 895 of the family's 1533-position model. The record is from RNAcentral.
UGGGGAAUAUUGCACAAUGGGCGCAAGCCUGAUGCAGCAACGCCGCGUGAGGGACGACGGCCUUCGGGUUGUAAACCUCUUUUAGCAAGGAAGAAGCGAAAGUGACGGUACUUGCAGAAAAAGCGCCGGCUAACUACGUGCCAGCAGCCGCGGUAAUACGUAGGGCGCAAGCGUUAUCCGGAAUUAUUGGGCGUAAAGAGCUCGUAGGCGGUUUGUCGCGUCUGCUGUGAAAACCCGAGGCUCAACCUCGGGCCUGCAGUGGGUACGGGCAGACUAGAGUGCGGUAGGGGAGAUUGGAACUCCUGGUGUAGCGGUGGAAUGCGCAGAUAUCAGGAAGAACACCGAUGGCGAAGGCAGAUCUCUGGGCCGUAACUGACGCUGAGGAGCGAAAGGGUGGGGAGCAAACAGGCUUAGAUACCCUGGUAGUCCACCCGUAAACGUUGGGAACUAGUUGUGGGGUCCAUUCCACGGAUUCCGUGACGCAGCUAACGCAUUAAGUUCCCCGCCUGGGGAGUACGGCCGCAAGGCU